Anguilla rostrata (American eel) is the source of this 2258-nucleotide long non-coding RNA. RefSeq lists it as uncharacterized. The record is from RefSeq and is a predicted model, not a curated record. NCBI's taxonomy places the organism in Eukaryota, Metazoa, Chordata, Actinopteri, Anguilliformes, Anguillidae. The transcript has 3 exons.
GGCAAAUCGCCAAAACAGCGCGAAUUAAAAAAAUUUUUUUAGGGCAUUUAAAAUGUUUGAGUGAUUCAACUACUUCCAUUUCCAUACUACAACAUGGUGAUUUUUUUUUCCAUGAAAACGAAAGGGAAAGUGUUUAUUUUUAAGGUUUUGUGAAUUAUUUGAGCUAGCAAAACUGAGAGUAGGGCUACAGUCGCUACAGCUGACAAAGAGGGCUGCAUUCUAAUGACGAUUAUGAAUGUAUCGAGAGGAGCAGUCCCACAAGCUGCUGCAGUGUCCAGAAAUUAAUACAGAUAACACUAGCUAAUAAAAAAAUACAUUAAUCAAGCAUCUAGGUUAGGACAUUUUUGUAUCAUGCCUCUCAGUAGAAUAAGAAUGUGUCAGGAUCUGGACUGUAAUUCAUCCUUUUGUUGACUUUGGGUUUCCUUUUUUUGUCUUUGAGUGUGUCGUGGUAAUAUGUUCCACCUGUGUCUUAAUUGUGCUGUAUAUUUAAGUUGCCCGUUUUGUAGCUGUCUUUGCUCAGCCUUUGUCCUGUCUACCUUGAGUAAGUGCUACCUUGUGAUCUCUUUUGUUGGACUGUUGCUGUGCUUGAAAACUCUCUUGUGUUUAGUUUCUUUUUCUAUGAGUUUUUUGGAUUUAGAAAUUUUUUGGCCUUCCUUGCUUACAUGUUUUUUGGAAUCCAGUUCUUUGUUCUUGGAAAAUCAAAAACCUUUUUUCGCUAGACUUCUGGUGCCUGCCUCUGCUUUUGGGUUCAUCAGUCUUUGAGUCCUAGCCCAGUGGUAGAGCUCUUGACUCUGACCACAAGGACCGGGGAUCGAAUCCUGACCCGGUCCUGACAGAAAGAGCCUAAAAAUGAACCCAGCAGAGGAUAACUAUGCCACCGAGGUUCCUGUCCUACAAAACCUGGUGGCGGCUUUGACCAGUCAGGAUGUUUCGAUGCAACGCCAUGAAGAUAUUCUUGCACGCCAAGAGGCGGCCGUUUCAAGACAUGACCAGGUAUUUGGUGAAAUACUCAAGACCAUCCAGCAUCUUUCAUCACAAAUCCAUGCAGCUACUGUCCCUCUUCCUCCCUCUCCUACGUGCCCAGUCCCAGCCCCAGGUCCCACAGUUGAGCCACACCUUCCAGCCCCAGAGCAUUACAAUGGGAAUCCAAGUGGCUGUCGAGGCUUUCUAAUCCAAUACUCAUUGACCUUCCAGCUUCAGCCCUCCUCGUUUCCCACUGAGCGUUCCCAGAUUGCCUACAUAAUCACCCUGCUCACAGACCCCUGCCUAGCCCAAACACCAAAGAAGUUCCCGAGCCAAUGCAGCUGGGAGGCACUCGACUCUCACCUACAGAACAAGAGAGAAGAAUGAGGGACUGCUCCACCGGCGUCCACCCACCUUUGUUUAAGAAAGAUGGAUAAAGGAGGAAGAAAGGGAGGACAAAGGAGGAGGAUGAGCGAUUACUUUUGUGGGUAAAAACAAUUCUCAGCAUUAAUGACACUCAAUAAACUUGCAUCAAUAGUAUACAUUCUUUUUAAAACAUUGUUUUCUUUAAUUACAAUUAUGUGCACAAUACAUUAAAGAUACAUACUUCAGAUACAUUUUAGAAUGUUUAAUUUAUUCUUUUUUAAUUCAGGGGGUGCACAGUUUUAAUAGACCAUCUUACAUUUGCUCAAUAUAUUGUAGAGUGGAGGCUAAAUCCUCAAAGAGGAGCAGCAGCCCAGCUCGCAGCAGAGCCGGAUCUAGAAGUGGGCAGGGGUGGGCAGUGCCCACCCAAAUUGGUCAACUUCAUUCUGCGCCAUUUGAAUCUGCCAAUCACUUUUAUUUAAUUCGCUCCAUCAGAAUUUCCUGAUUUCUGAUUUACUGGUUGGACAGAAUAAAAUGGUAAAUGGCAAAUGGACUACAUUUAUAUAGUGCUUUUAUCCAAAGCGCUUUACAAUUUAUGCCUCUAAUUCACCCAUUCACACACCAACGGUGAAAGCAAGGUACCAAACAGCUCAUUGGGAGCAAUUAGGGGUUAGGUGUCUUGCUCAGUGACACUUCGACAUGCCCAGGGCGGGGGAUCGAACCGGCAACCCUCCGACUGUCAGACAACCGCUCUUUCCGUCCAACGGUAUAAACAAUAAACAACGGAGAUGUCUUAACUCCAAUAUCAUUCUGCGGAGCAUUUGUAGUCGCCUGUGACAGUGGAGGAGGAAUAUUAGCUCAUUCUUGUUAAAAUGUCAUUUUUAAUUCAUUGUUGCUGUACUUUGUUGUAGUGUUGUGCUGAAUAAGGGUCU